UACGAAGGGUGCAAGCGUUACUCGGAAUUACUGGGCGUAAAGCGUGCGUAGGUGGUUCGUUGUGUCUGUGGUGAAAGCCCCGGGCUUAACCUGGGAAUGGCCAUGGAAACUGGCGAGCUGGAGUGUGGCAGAGGGGGGUGGAAUUCCGCGUGUAGCGGUGAAAUGCGUAGAUAUCUGGAGGAACACCGGUGGCGAAGGCGGCAUCCUGGACCGAGAGUGACGCUGAGGCGCGAAAGCCAGGGGAGCAAACGGG
Molecule: ribosomal RNA, 253 nt
Filed under: uncultured bacterium
Lineage: Bacteria
Description: partial 16S ribosomal RNA
Rfam family: Bacterial small subunit ribosomal RNA
Source: RNAcentral